GACGAACGCUGGCGGCGUGCCUAAUACAUGCAAGUCGAGCGAGCGGAACCAACAGAUUUACUUCGGUAAUGACGUUGGGAAAGCGAGCGGCGGAUGGGUGAGUAACACGUGGGGAACCUGCCCCCUAAGUCUGGGAUACCAUUUGGAAACAGGUGCUAAUACCGGAUAAUAAAGCAGAUCGCAUGAUCAGCUUUUGAAAGGCGGCGUAAGCUGUCGCUAAGGGAUGGCCCCGCGGUGCAUUAGCUAGUUGGUAAGGUAACGGCUUACCAAGGCGACGAUGCAUAGCCGAGUUGAGAGACUGAUCGGCCACAUUGGGACUGAGACACGGCCCAAACUCCUACGGGAGGCAGCAGUAGGGAAUCUUCCACAAUGGACGCAAGUCUGAUGGAGCAACGCCGCGUGAGUGAAGAAGGUUUUCGGAUCGUAAAGCUCUGUUGUUGGUGAAGAAGGAUAGAGGUAGUAACUGGCCUUUAUUGACGGUAAUCAACCAGAAAGUCACGG
RNAcentral lists this ribosomal RNA (501 nucleotides) under uncultured bacterium. Its description in RNAcentral is "bacterial SSU rRNA". It matches the Rfam family "Bacterial small subunit ribosomal RNA", at positions 28 to 496 of the family's 1533-position model. The record is from RNAcentral.